This is a long non-coding RNA of Archocentrus centrarchus (flier cichlid), 1289 nucleotides long. RefSeq lists it as uncharacterized. The record is from RefSeq and is a predicted model, not a curated record. NCBI's taxonomy places the organism in Eukaryota, Metazoa, Chordata, Actinopteri, Cichliformes, Cichlidae. The transcript has 5 exons.
UAGCCAACCGGAUUCCUUUCGGUUCUGACCAAGAUCGCUGCAGACACACAGACGUCGAGCUGCCGUUAUUAAACAAAGGAAACUUAUCUAAAAGAAUAUCUUUAAUUUUUUGAGAAAUUGUUUUGUUUUUCCACUUUAUCCUGCCCUUCAGACGUGUGUACAUUGCUGAAUGGGACUUGGCCAUUUAAGUUGGAGUGGAGAAAAGUUGAGCUAGUACUGAAGUGGGACUUCAUACGCGGUGAAACGAGAUGGCGAGCCACCGGACCUGAUGAGCUGUGAAAUUGCUGAUCUGUGCAUGUGGAGCAACAUGCUGUCUGCUGAGUGUUGACCGUUUUCAUCCGAACUGGUUGCCAUGGUUGCAGAAAUUGGAGGGACAUCUUUGGACGACACAACAAGACGAAUAAUGGCAUUCCUGAUGUCCCAUGAACUGGCGCUCCAGUUCAAUCUCUUUGGUCAUCAUGGAAAACACAAGUUCCGGGACCUGCGUCUGUUUGAUGUUGUGUAUGGGGCACUUAAAAGAAAUGGAUGCAUCCAGGGAAUCACACAGAAAGAUGCAGAAAAGGCCCUCUCUAAGUGGUUUACCGGAGCUCGUGAUAGAGGUGGAAACAGGAAAGCCAGAGCCAAUAGGGAGGCUGCCAAUUCAAAUCCAGAUUCUGUUACAGAUGACGCCUCACUUUGGCGAUGGACCGCCAAUGCAGGUGCCCUGACAUCAUCAUAAGGGCGCCCGUCUGUGAUGACGAUCAUGAUCUUGUCGGCAUGCAACCAUCUGAUGUGGUGGUUAGCAAAACUGGGACACCGCAGGGGACAGUUCUAUCUCCAUUCCUGUUUACCUUGUACACCUCAGAUUUCCAGUACAGUGAAACAUACCACCUGCACAAGUUCUCUGAUGACACUGCACUGGUUGGGUGUAUUAAGUGUACAGGGAGCUGGGGAGGAGCUUUGUGAAGCGGUCCAGCAGAAAUCACCUCUUUCUCAAUAUCAGCAAGACAAAAGAGAUGGUGGUCAACUUCCAGAGGAAUAAAACUCCAUUAACAUCAUGGGAGAGGACGUGGAAACAGUGGACAGCUACAGACACCUGGGAGCUCGCAUGAAUGACAGACUGGACUGGAGGACCAACAGUGAAUCUGUGUAUAGGAAGGAGAUGAGCAGAUGUUGGAGAUCCUCUACCAGUCUGUGAUAGCAAGUGCCAUCUACUUUGCUGUUGUCUGCUUUUUUUGUGCUGGUGCUGGGGAUCUCACCCACUCCCCACUAAUGACGCAGCAGAGAGCUUUCUCCCUCAGACUGAUUCA